GACGAACGCUGGCGGCGUGCUUAACACAUGCAAGUCGAACGGUAAGGCCCUUGGGGGUACACGAGUGGCGAACGGGUGAGUAACACGUGGGUGAUCUGCCCUGCACUUCGGGAUAAGCCUGGGAAACUGGGUCUAAUACCGGAUAGGACUCCUGGCUUCAUGGUUGGGGGUGGAAAGCUUUUGCGGUGUGGGAUGGGCCCGCGGCCUAUCAGCUUGUUGGUGGGGGAAUGGCCUACCAAGGCGACGACGGGUAGCCGGCCUGAGUGGGUGACCGGUCACACUGGGACUGAGAUACGGCCCAGACUCCUACGGGAGGCAGCAGUGGGGAAUAUUGCACAAUGGGCGCAAGCCUGAUGCAGCGACGCCGCGUGAGGGAUGACGGCCUUCGGGUUGUAAACCUCUUUCAGCUAUGACGAAGCGCAAGUGACGGUAGUAGCAGAAGAAGGACCGGCCAACUACGUGCCAGCAGCCGCAGUAA
RNAcentral lists this ribosomal RNA (478 nucleotides) under uncultured bacterium. RNAcentral's name for it is "partial 16S ribosomal RNA". It matches the Rfam family "Bacterial small subunit ribosomal RNA", at positions 28 to 523 of the family's 1533-position model. The record is from RNAcentral.